UACAGAGGGUGCGAGCGUUAAUCGGAAUUACUGGGCGUAAAGCGUGCGUAGACGGUUAUCUAAGUCGGAUGAGAAAGCCCCGGGCUCAACCUGGGAAUUGCAUUCGAGACUGCAUGGCUGGAGUGCGGCAGAGGGGGAUGGAAUUCCGCGUGUAGCAGUGAAAUGCGUAGAUAUGCGGAGGAACACCGAUGGCGAAGGCAAUCCCCUGGGCCUGCACUGACGCUCAUGCACGAAAGCGUGAGGAGCAAACAGG
RNAcentral lists this ribosomal RNA (253 nucleotides) under uncultured bacterium. Its description in RNAcentral is "partial 16S ribosomal RNA". It matches the Rfam family "Bacterial small subunit ribosomal RNA", at positions 524 to 776 of the family's 1533-position model. The record is from RNAcentral.